This 3810-nucleotide unclassified non-coding RNA is filed under the name Dendronephthya gigantea. RNAcentral describes it as "uncharacterized LOC114531700, transcript variant X1". Lineage: Eukaryota; Metazoa; Cnidaria; Anthozoa; Malacalcyonacea; Nephtheidae. The record is from RNAcentral.
UAUGGCUACCGCAAGAUGUGUAUUUUAUAAUUGGUUUUAGUGUUUUAGUUCAUUUAAUUUCUUUGUUUCAUUUUAAAAAUAUGAAUCAUUGGAAUCAAAGAAUGAUGUUUCCUAACAUGCCGGCAGGAAUUCCUCAGAAUGCUCAAAACCAACAGAACUUUUACAGACCUCCAACUUCGCAACAAUUUUAUCCAAACCCUUCUGGAGUCCAAUAUCAAGGCAAUUUUCAACCAAGAGGAUCCUUCGCACAAAAUAUAAACACCAUGCCUCAAAAUUAUCCUCCGGCAGUUGCAUCGCAGCCACAGACAACCAGGCCCAUGACGCAGGCUGAACUUGAAAGCUUAAAGAAAAAACGAAACUUUGAAGAGCAACAAAAAAGAUUAAUGGCUUUUAAGCACAAGGGAGGGGUUCAGUCUAAAAAAUCACAAGUUGAAAAUCCAUUAAAUGACUUGUUUGGAACAAAAGGAAACUCAGGUGGAAUGACAUCUUUACUGGGGUCCUUUGGAGAUGUUAAAAAUUCCAAGAGCAGCACUUUUCAAGGGCAACCUGGUUCACAAAACAUCCCUGGCCAGAUCACACCAAGCUACCACACCAACCCAAUGCAAAAUAUCCCAGGUCCAACACAGGCAAACAUUGUUUCAUCAAAUUGGAACACUUAUGGAAUAGCUAACACCCAUCCUACUGUGCCAAGCUCUCAACCUGCAGGAGAUUUUGAUCAGUUUCAAGGAUUUAGUUCUAAAACUGAUGACUUUGGGGAUUUUCAACAGAGUUCUUCAAUGCAGUUUCCAGGGGCACCUGGUCCGCAGCAGCCUGAGUUGCCAAAAAACUAUCAGUCAGAUCUAUUUGGUGCCAGUUCUAGUAAUCAGAGCAGUCACAGUAUUCCCCAAUCUAUUACAACCAUUGCACAGCACCCAGAAGUUAGCACAGACACUCCAUCGAAUGUAUUUGGUGUUAUGACUAGUGAUAAAACUAGUCAGCAACAUGCUAAUAUCCAAGAAACUAAAGUCGAGGUUCCUUCUGAAGAUGGUCAGCAAACAAGAAACAGAGUUGUUGUGCCAAGUACACCAAGUAUUGAAGACUUGAUGAAGAAAUCGCUUUCGUUGGACAGCCAGUCGCAGAGCUCUACCAAAAGAUUUGAAAAGCCAAAAAUCUCAAAAACAAUCAAAGUACAGCCGAGCCAUUUUACCGAAUCCACAAAGGCGAGUAAAUUUGAAAACUUGGAAUCGUUGUCCGAGAUUUUUACCAUCCCGGAGUCCGCUCUGGCGAAACCUGUAGAAAGGAGUGAACCCGUGACUCACAUAACUGGUGAUGAUUGGUCAGAUUUUAGCAGUGCAUCAAAAAAUGUUUUUCAAGCUCAGAAUCCGCCGACAGAGUUUGGACAAAAUAGUUCAGGCCAGGACUAUCUUUCUUCAACAGAGAUUCUUGGGCCCUCUGUAUCAGAACCUGCACCGUUCAGGUGGGAGGGUGGUAAUGAGGGUGGGCAAAGUACAUGGCAGGAACCAAAGCCCGAAAUGAGUAUUUUCUCGCAACCUUUCAACACAAUGCAAUCUGGCGGACUGUGGAACCCUCAAGUCCCGGUUGUAGCAAGCGGUAUGUUGGUCGCAAAUACACCUGCGUCACAGGGAAAUAUUCCGGUGGUUGGUCAAGGUGAAUUUGGAAACUUCCAGUCCGAGGCUCCAAGGAAUGAUCCAUUAUCUUCAACCGAACAUGAUCAAGGAAAUCGCGAAGAGUUUCCCGACAUUGAUCCAGAACAACAAAUCUAUGGGUUAUCCCUUCCUGAAUGGAGUAAAAACACCACCAUGUUGCCUGCAAUCUAUAAACAGAUCCACAAAAUGUGUUCCUCACCAGCUGGUGAUUUCAUUAGCACUAGCCAGUUAUAUCCAAUCCUGCUGUCAUCUGACCUACCACGUGAUAAACUUGGCCAUAUAUGGUCAAAAUGUAACAAAGCUGUCCCAGGAGAGUUGAACGAAAAAGAGCUAUACCUAAUUCUUGGCAUGAUUGCUCUAGCUCAGGUCGGUCUUCAAGUCAAUAAACUGACAUUAGAGAAACUGGCAUCCUGUGUUACAGCGCCCAUCCCUUCAUUCCCAGAAAAUAUUUUUCAGAAUGAGCCAACACCAGAUGUUUCUCUCCCAUCAACAUCCAACAUCGAUCCCCAACCUGAACUAACAAGCAUACCUGUCACCGAUCCAGAUACAACAACACCAGAUGACAUCUUCCAUCCUACCCCUCAUGUGGAUGCUGUGAAACACCCGGAUUGGUCAAAAUGGAAAACGACAAAAGCUGGUCAAAUUGAUGAUCAAUUUUCCGAUUUCCAAAUUUUGAAACCAAACGAUUCCUCCAAUAUCGCGCCCACGACAAAUCUGAACCUAAAUUGGUCGAGUAACACAGAAACAAGCGAUCAAUCGUUUGGUAGUUUUCAAAGUCUGUCUGGCACACUGCCGGUUGCAAAAAGUACUGAACUAACCAAUCAAGAACCGCCAAAUGCAGUGAAGUCUGAUAGUUUGGCCUUGUUUAGUCAAGGGAAAAAAUCAAACGAAGACAGGAACGAAGGUGAUAUAUUUGGUGAGAUGACUGGUGCUGAUGAGUCAAGCCAGCACGAUAAAUCUUUUGAUGAUAAACCCGUGUCAAGUUCGGCUCAUGUGAUGUCUGUACCUCUGCAAGCUUCACAACGCUACACACUGACAGGCGAGGACGAGAGUGUUGAUCAUCAUGAAAAAGCUUGGUUAAAAUGCCUUACAAGUUGUUUCACUGUCAUCAUGAAAUCUUGCCAAACUCUGCAAAAUAUCUCCGAUCCAAACGUUAUGAGCGAAAUUUUUUCUUCACAACAGGGAAUAUCACAUUUUUCUGCAAUUAUUGAAAUAUACUGUGUAUCUCAAAGAGUUAAGGCUUCAGUACUAAAAUCAGCACCUAAUAACAAGAAACUGAAAGAAAAUCUUCAGAAUAUCGAUAAUAUCUGGAAGACAUAUAUGAGCUUUGAGCAUUUCAAGAAACUUGUGUCUAUGGAGAAUUUCAACUUUUCUGGUUGCCAUAUCAACAAUGGUGAUGACGUGAAUAUGUCGUGCGGUGUUUGCUUAUUAAACGUGGAUAAAUCGUGCACAAGUUCAGCGCAAAAGAGCCAGCGUGGUAAAUUGAACUAUGGUAACAGACAAUAUCACACAACUUGUGCGAACUUCUGGUGUAAUAAAGUGGACUCCGUGUUGCCAUCGUUACAGUUUAAUGUCGCGAAUAGCUUAAUAUGAAACCCACGAGUGCAGGAUACAAUAGUAUGAAGAUUGUAUCGCGUGGGCACUGGGCACAAACACAGCUGGUCGGGCGUUUGACGUUUAGCGAGGGUUUAGAUUUAAUUCUACUACCGCUACCAUUGUGAGAGGAUGAACCAUUCAAACGUGAUAAGUAUAUCAGAUUAUCUGCUGAACCUCGCUUUUCAUUGCUUAAAGUGAUGAAUGUGAAUUCACAGUGUCAAGAACAUACAGUAAACCCAUUCAACACUCUUGCUGAACUGGCUUUCUCGCCAUUACUCUAGCCAGUAGAUUCCAUAAAAAUUGGGGAUAUGUUAGUUUUAUAGAAAAGAGACUUAAAGAUCUCGACAUUUUCUGAAGUAAAAACAGAUACGCAAUUGUUUAGCACACCGAAGCGUCCUGAGCACGAUGCUAGAAGGGAUACACAAUAUUUAUUACUGCUACAAAAGCAUACUUUAUCUGCGGGUUUGGAUUAGGGUUCUGGUUAAGAUUUGGAUUAGCAAGAACGCGGAAAUAUCUGUCUUUCGACUUUUCCUCCCUUCCCAUCAACCCAUCAAACUUCCCGCGUUUG